GACGAACGCUGGCGGCGUGCUUAACACAUGCAAGUCGAACGAUGACGACCGAGCUUGCUCGGUCUGAUUAGUGGCGAACGGGUGAGUAACACGUGAGCAACCUGCCCUUCACUCUGGGAUAACCUCGGGAAAUCGGGGCUAAUACCGGAUGUGAGCUCCUGUCGCAUGGCGGGUGUUGGAAAGUUUUUCGGUGAAGGAUGGGCUCGCGGCCUAUCAGUUUGUUGGUGAGGUAGUGGCUCACCAAGGCGAUGACGGGUAGCCGGCCUGAGAGGGCGACCGGCCACACUGGGACUGAGACACGGCCCAGACUCCUACGGGAGGCAGCAGUGGGGAAUAUUGCACAGUGGGCGGAAGCCUGAUGCAGCGACGCCGCGUGAGGGAUGACGGCCUUCGGGUUGUAAACCUCUUUCAGCAGGGAAGAAGCGAAAGUGACGGUACCUGCAGAAGAAGCGCCGGCUAACUACGUG
RNAcentral lists this ribosomal RNA (467 nucleotides) under uncultured bacterium. RNAcentral's name for it is "partial 16S ribosomal RNA". It matches the Rfam family "Bacterial small subunit ribosomal RNA", at positions 28 to 507 of the family's 1533-position model. The record is from RNAcentral.